UACAGAGGUCUCAAGCGUUGUUCGGAUUCAUUGGGCGUAAAGGGUGCGUAGGCGGCGCGGUAAGUCGGGUGUGAAAUCUCGGAGCUUAACUCCGAAACUGCAUUCGAUACUGCCGUGCUUGAGGACUGGAGAGGAGACUGGAAUUUACGGUGUAGCGGUGAAAUGCGUAGAUAUCGAGAGGAACACCUGCGGCGAAGGCAGCUCGCUGGGACGGUACUGACGCUGAGGCGCGAAAGCGUGGGGAGCAAACAGG
Molecule: ribosomal RNA, 253 nt
Filed under: uncultured bacterium
Lineage: Bacteria
Description: partial 16S ribosomal RNA
Rfam family: Bacterial small subunit ribosomal RNA
Source: RNAcentral